This 238-nucleotide ribosomal RNA is filed under the name uncultured bacterium. RNAcentral's name for it is "partial 16S ribosomal RNA". It matches the Rfam family "Bacterial small subunit ribosomal RNA", at positions 96 to 334 of the family's 1533-position model. The record is from RNAcentral.
CGGCGGACGGGUGAGUAACGCGUGGGUAACCUACCCUGUACACACGGAUAACAUACCGAAAGGUAUGCUAAUACGGGAUAAUAUAUUUGAGAGGCAUCUCUUGAAUAUCAAAGGUGAGCCAGUACAGGAUGGACCCGCGUCUGAUUAGCUAGUUGGCGGGGUAACGGCCCACCAAAGCGACGAUCAGUAGCCGACCUGAGAGGGUGACCGGCCACAUUGGGACUGAGACACGGCCCAA